This is a long non-coding RNA of Nomascus leucogenys (northern white-cheeked gibbon), 841 nucleotides long. RefSeq lists it as uncharacterized. Lineage: Eukaryota; Metazoa; Chordata; Mammalia; Primates; Hylobatidae. The transcript has 2 exons. The record is from RefSeq and is a predicted model, not a curated record.
CUAGGACCCGUUGCCCUUGCGCAUGAUGUCAUUUAAGAUAUCCCCCCCACUUGCUCCCAGAGCUCUUGGUCUAACGUGCCUUCUUCUGGGAACCAUGGCUUAUUGAAAACAACAGUUUGCAUUAGGCCCCUUAAUUGAGCCUGCGAGACCGAGGCUCUGCUAGCUUUAAGCAGCUGUUUCAAUACUUACAUAUAGUGUUGCUGUUGAGCUGAUAACUGUUGUCCCAUGAUGAAACCCUAGGUUGAAAAUUCCCUCAAACUUGGAAAUCCCGAGCGGGCACCAAUUACUUAUUUCCCGCACAGUCUCUUCACCUCGUUUUUGGGAGUUCCAUCGUGAUCUGUUGCAGCAUUCCUCACACAGGGCACCAGCUGCUGGGUCUGUCCCACAGACCCUGGCUGAACGAUGGAUGAAACGAGUACUCACACGCAGGUAUAUAGUGUAAGAGCAGCUAGGGGACUGCUCGGCACUAGUGGCCAAAGUGCGAGCAGGCAAACAGCCGGAGCUGCUUGCUUUUAUUCAGUAUAGACAUAAUGCUGAAAGCCUGGAGCAAAAACAAUCUGUGGGUAAUUAACAUUAUUGUUCCCUCAGGGAGCGGGUCACACAUGUGGAUGAUCAAAGGUCAGCUCUUGGUCAAUAUGAGAAGACUGGUUUCAGAAAAGUUGCGUGCUGAAGACUACAAAGCUGUUUGUAAGUUAUCAAGCUAGGAUUUGAUCCCAGGUCUGCCUGAUUCCAAAUCCUGGACUCUUAACCAUGACAUAAGAGUGCCCUCUUGACUCCUAUGAUGGCAUAAAGAAUUGUAUCAGAACGGGUAAUCUGGCAUUAAAACCCCUGUGCCGCAACA